AAGUCGUAACAAGGUUUCCGUAGGUGAACCUGCGGAAGGAUCAUUACCUGGCCCAGGCCGCUGCUUGUCGGCGUGCCGCUCGUGCCUCUUACCUUGACUAUGCGCACCUUUGUUGUUCCCUCGGCAGUUCGCUGCCGCCAGGGACCCCUAAAACCCUUAUGUAAUACACAGUACACUUCUGAAAACAAACCUAAUUAUUUACAACUUUCAACAAUGGAUCUCUUGGUUCUG
This 231-nucleotide unclassified non-coding RNA is filed under the name Keissleriella quadriseptata. Its description in RNAcentral is "partial internal transcribed spacer region". The stretch from base 1 to 46 matches the Rfam family "Eukaryotic small subunit ribosomal RNA", at positions 1786 to 1831 of the family's 1831-position model. Lineage: Eukaryota; Fungi; Ascomycota; Dothideomycetes; Pleosporales; Lentitheciaceae. The record is from RNAcentral.